Empidonax traillii (willow flycatcher) is the source of this 3005-nucleotide long non-coding RNA. RefSeq lists it as uncharacterized. The record is from RefSeq and is a predicted model, not a curated record. Lineage: Eukaryota; Metazoa; Chordata; Aves; Passeriformes; Tyrannidae. The transcript is spliced from 4 exons.
CUAUAAGGAAAAAAUAAAAUAAAAGAAUUAGAAACACUAUUUGCAGGGCUAGUGGUCUGGGGAAUGAGCAAAUUUUUGUUCACACAUUCUAAUUGUGGUACAUUACUGGAAAAGAAAAAAAAAUCUCUGUAAGACUUUAGGUGUCUGCAGCAAUUUCAUCAAAACUCAGAGAAAAUGCCUUGAGAGGUGGCACUGAAUCCUGCUGACAAGAGAGCACAUCCUGGUGAAGCAGAAAUGAGGAAAUGAAUGGGAAUCACUUGGUUUUUCAAGCAGUGGUUGCAGAACAAUCUUCUCCUGAUUUAUUCCCAAGCUUUCGCUGGCUUUAAAACAUGAGUGAUGCUCAGGCAUGGUGUGCAGUUCUCAGAAAUAAAGAUGCUGUGCCACUGAAGCAGAAGAGCGUGAGAUCUGUAAGGAAGGAAGAGGUCUGUAAUCCAUCAAAAGUCUCUGUAAAGAUGAACAGAGCAGGAACUGCCUGAAUAUAUGCCCUUAAAGAUACACUCACAAAAGUUAAAGAAGUGGCGGGGUUAAGGAGUGGAUCUCAUAUUUCUGCCUGCCUCGUAUUGAAAGUAAUUCAUCAAGUGCUGAUGUUGCCAGGUCCCUGGAGAAAGGGAAGGGAUCAGACAGAGAUGCUGCAGCAGUCAGAUGUGCAAGCGGACACCCACCCAUGUAGGCUGGUAGAGAGGUCUCUGCAUGCUCAGAACCUGGAAAAGGCCAGAGCUUGGAAAGAGCAGCCAGAACACAUGGCUUUUAUCACUAGUUAUGCUGGGUAUACAGGGGUGCUGCAAAUGGAGCCAACAAAUUUUUCCCACCAUUUUUUCCAUCUCUGUUCUUUGUUAAGACUGAGGGUUUGAUCUUUUUCAAGAAGUGUUUGCUCUAUCAGCACACAGAUUUCAGGGUUUUGGAAGAUUAGAGUGUUUCUGACAGAAAAUACGAUGGGUAAAGUCGACAAGAACAUUUCCUAUAUAUCAACUGGGCUUGCAAUUCUUUUUAAAAUCCGAUGCAGUUCCUUUUGUGGUCACUAAGUGGUGUCAGCUAUAAGGACAGUGUCUGCAAGCUUGUGGAAAGUUCUCCUGUUAAACUAUUGUUUCAAAAUUGUAGCAGAAUGACAAUGAGGAAAUAAACAAAACCUGUAAUCAAUCUUUUCAGAGAUCAUUUGCACCCUGCUAAGAGACUGUGCUGCAAAAGGACAUAGUGUCAGCAGAUUUUAAUGGGUUGUGGUUUUGGGGGGUUUUUCUUUUAAGUUUUGGAAGUUCUGAGAGGCUGACAAUCAGAAAUUAAAUAUUUAGUUGUGAAUCUCCUUUUCAGGGCUAACAGCCUUCUGUCUGACUUGUUCCUAAGUCUUGGUCCAGAGCCUGUUGGAGGUAAUUAUAUUGCUUAAUAGCUGUAAAAUGGUCUGGGAAACCACAUAAGAACCAUUUUUACGUUGAUUUCACAUUUUGGUCAGGCCAGAAUGCCCUUCCAGAAGUUUUGCAUGAAAAUGCAACUAUGAAAAUAACUCAAGGAAAUGAAAACAAGAUACCUCAAAUGAAAAAGGCAAUAGUAUGAACUAAUUGCAGUUUGCGAACUGAUGGGAGUUAAUUAUUGAACCUACUCAAAAGCACAUCCAAAAUGUUUCUUUACAGGCAUAGGGAUACCCGAGCUGUUUCUGUUUCCAGAUUAAUUACUUCUUGGGAAGAAACAAGGAACUGUGAAUACGUAAGUACCUCUGAGAAUUUUUUGUGUGAAGUUAUGACUUGGGCCCAUUGGCUUCCCCUAAACUAUUUGCAUGAUUCAAGGCUAAUCUAUGCAGCCAUUCAACUGAAAGAAAACAUUUUAAUUGCAAUCGUAGUCAUUUGGAGUAGUAAGAAUUUUCAGAAAUAAAAGCCACCUCAUCAGAAAGCAGAAACAUGAAACACAGUUUACCAGUAGAAGUUUGAUUAGCACAUGAGGUGUCAGUGGCUGGCUGCCCCACUGUGCGGUGUGUGAGCCACCCAUGGGCUGAGGGUUUGGCUGGUUUCGGCAGUAUGAUCACAACCCACAGAAAAAAGGGAAACACAGGAGUAAUAAUGACAAAGCAAAAGUGCACAAAAACAGUGGCUCAAACCAGCUGUGUCACCUAUUUUAAUGUCAUCUCAAGUGAGGGCAGAGAGCAAGGGGUGUCCUUGUGGGACAGCAGCCCUGUCUUUCCUAGGGACGGGGCUAGGGAGGGAUCAUGGAUCUCUGGAGAUGGGGCCAACCUCAGUGGAAGAAAGGGGAGACCAAAGCUCUGAUUUUUCUUUGAGGCAACAUAUGACCUAUGUCCUGGGUCUGACCCUUGGCUUGCUCUGGUCUCCUUAACCUAGAAAAAGAGUUGUGUUACAGCAGCAUCAGCAGCUCCUGGGUGUCCACUGACUUACACAAAGGGUGCAGAAAUCUAACUGGGUCCUCUGAGUUGGGGACAUUUGCACUAAUCAUUGCAGCAUGACUACUGACCCAAACUCCUUUCCUAGAGCUCAGGUCAGGACCAGGGUGGUCUUUCAUCCUGCAACCCACAGACCCUGCUCAGCCAGCUUAGAAAUCUGUGUUUGUAUUUAGGCACUUGUGAAAACCCAAACUUAUGGAAAAGGUGCUUGUGAAAAACCCAUUACCCAUGUCUGUGUGGCAGCCCCACUGGGAAAUCAUCAGUUUCUGACUGACGUUUGUUGUCAUGUCCCCCCAAAAUUUUUUUAUUCAGCUGAGUGUCAGAGGGGCAGGAAGUUUUUAUGAGGUCCCUCUUACUGUAGUUGAAGGCACUGGGAAUGUCCCUAGAGUACGAGCGCAGUGUAUAAAAAGGGGGAAGUCACACUAGAUGCAUCAGUCGCUUGCUCGUCCCGCUGAGCAUAUAGCUAAGAUGAUGAUGGUCUCUUGCCUGUUCCUCUCCAGCAUCUGGACCAUUGCAUCAGCCUCUGUGCAGGUGAUGAACAGAAAAGUCCAGUCGGUCCAGGCAGGAGGAAAUGUUACUUUUUCGUGCCGGUCAGUGACAAAAGAAGAUGUGAUACAGGUGACCU